RNAcentral lists this ribosomal RNA (292 nucleotides) under uncultured bacterium. Its description in RNAcentral is "partial 16S ribosomal RNA". It matches the Rfam family "Bacterial small subunit ribosomal RNA", at positions 505 to 796 of the family's 1533-position model. The record is from RNAcentral.
GUGUCAGCAGCCGCGGUAAUACGAAGGUGGCAAGCGUUGUUCGGAAUCACUGGGCUUAAAGCGCACGUAGGCGGUCCUGUAAGCGUCUUGUGAAAUCCCUCGGCUCAACCGGGGAAUUGCUGGGCGAACUGCAGGACUUGAGGCAAGUAGGGGUGCAUGGAACUCUUGGUGGAGCGGUGAAAUGCGUAGAUAUCAAGAGGAACGCCGGAGGCGAAAGCGGUGCACUGGGCUUGCCCUGACGCUGAGGUGCGAAAGCUAGGGGAGCGAACGGGAUUAGAUACCCCAGUAGUCC